UUCAGGGUUCUGGUGCCUAAUGACUCCCAGUGCUAGGCCUUGUCAUGUCCACCUCACAGAGGACGGAACUAGGCCACCAGACUGCAUCACAAAGCCCUCCUGUGUCAUGAGGCACAUGUAGUAGGGAAGCUCAUGUGGUGAUUCAGUCUGUAGAUGAGGGUGUUGUGAGCCUGGGACUGAAGGUUUUUGCUCUGUUACCCAGGCUGGAGUGCAGUGGCGUGAUCAUGGCUCACUGGAGCCUCAACCUCCUGGACUCAAGCAAUCCUCCUGCCUCAGCUUCCCAGGUAGCUGGGACCACGGACAUGCACCACCACACUCAGCUAAUUUUUGGAUUUUUUUUUGUAGAGAUGAGGUCUCACUUUAUUGCCCGGGUUGGUCUUGAACUCGUAGGCUCAGGUGAUCCUCCCACCUCAGCCUCCUAAAGUGUUGGGAUUACAGGCGUGAGCCUAUGUUUAGUUUUUUUGGGGAACCUCCAUACUGGUCUCCAUAGUAGCUGUACUAAUUUACAUUGCCACCAUCAGUGUACAAGGGUUCUCUUUUUCUGCACAUCCUUGCCAGCAUUCAUUAUUGCCUGUCUUUUGGAUAAAAGCCAUUUUAACGGGUGAGAUGAUAUCUCAGUGUAGUUGUGAUUUGCAUUUCUCUGAUGAUCACUGACGUUGAGCACCUUUUCACAGACCUGUUUGCAAUUUGUAUGUCUUCUUUUGAGGUAUGUCUUCUUUUGAGAAAUGUCUUUUCAGAUCUUUUGUCCAUUUUUCAGUAGGAUUAUUAGAUUUUUUUUUCUAAUGAGUUGUUUGAGCUCCUUAUAUGUUCUGAUUAUUAAUCCCUUGUCCAGAUGAAUAGUUUGUAAAUAUAUUUUCUCCCAUUCUGGGGUUGUCUCUUCACUUUGUUGAUUGUUUCCUUUGCUGUGCAGAAGUUUUUUAACUUGAUGUGAUCCCAUUUGUCCACUUUUGCUGCUUUGGCUGUCUGUGCUUAUGGGGUAUUGCUCCACAAAGAAAUCUUUGCCCCCAGACCAAUUUCCUGGAGAGUUUCCUCAAUACUCAUGUAUCUUUCAGAAUUAAUUUAGCACGGGAAGCAUAAAUAAAUUGAUAUAUUUUCUUCAUAAAUGGAAACAUGCUAGAUACUGUUUUCCCUUUUACUUUUAAUUAUUAUGAAUAUAUCUUCUGUAUAUAAUUUUCUUUAAUGUUUGUACAGUCUUCUUUGGUAAAACUAUAACAUGACUUAUUUUCUCAAUCCUAUAUCCAUGGAUAUUUCUUUAAAGUUUUUUUGUUCUACCAAAUAACACUGAUAUGAACCCCAUGUGUAUAAGUUCUUGUACACUGGUAUGAGUAUAUAACUAGGAGAAAUUCCUAAGAGUUGAAUUAAUGGGUCAAAAGGUGUGUGUAUUUUAAAUGUUGAUAUUGCUUAAUUGCCUACCAAUUGAAUGAAUUUGCAUUCUCACCAAAACUCUGUAAGUGUGCCUCUCUUCCUAUGCUUGUUGACUCAAUAUUAUCAAUUUUUUUUAUCUUUGUCGAUAUGAGAAGUGAAAAUUUGUAUUUUAUAUAUUUAUAAAUUUGUUUGAAUAUACGAUAA
This is a long non-coding RNA of Symphalangus syndactylus (siamang), 1569 nucleotides long. RefSeq lists it as uncharacterized. The record is from RefSeq and is a predicted model, not a curated record. NCBI's taxonomy places the organism in Eukaryota, Metazoa, Chordata, Mammalia, Primates, Hylobatidae.